AUUAUAUACAAGUAUAAAUGAAAUUCAUUUCUAAAUUCUUAAUAAAUAUUUUCUCAUGCCAGGUGUGUUGGCUCACGUCUGUAAUCUCAGCACUUUGACAGGCUGAGCAAGGGAGUGGAUUUUGAGGUCAGGAGUUCGAGACCAGCAUGGCCAAUAUGGAGAAAUCCUGUCUCUACUAAAAAUACAAAAAUUAUCCAGGAGUGGUGGCAUGUGCCUGUAAUCCCAGCUACUCAGGAGGCUGAGGCAGGAGAAUCGCUUGAACCUGGGAGGUAGAGGUUGCAAUGAGCCAAGAUCACCCCACUGCACUCCAGCCUGGGCAACAGAGCGAGACUCCAUCUCAAAAAGCCAGGAGUGGUGGCUCACGCCUGUAAUCCCAGCUCUGGGAGGCCAAGGCCAGUGGAUUGCUUGAGCCCAGGAGUUUGAGACCAGCCUGGGCAACAUGGAAAAACCCUACCUCUACUAAAAAUACAAAAAC
RNAcentral lists this small RNA (475 nucleotides) under Pongo abelii (Sumatran orangutan). Its description in RNAcentral is "processed transcript". The record is from RNAcentral. Lineage: Eukaryota; Metazoa; Chordata; Mammalia; Primates; Hominidae.